RNAcentral lists this long non-coding RNA (667 nucleotides) under Salvia miltiorrhiza (redroot sage). RNAcentral describes it as "long non-coding RNA (SMIL_LNC003656)". Lineage: Eukaryota; Viridiplantae; Streptophyta; Magnoliopsida; Lamiales; Lamiaceae. The record is from RNAcentral.
AUCUUGAAGAUCUUGGCUUUCUUGAUUAUUGGAGAGUGAAUUAAGGAAAAGCAAACUUGAAGAAUAAAUAAUGAUCAUCAACUUCAACUUUAUUACACUGAUCGGAAACUAACUAUGAUGAAGCCGAAAACAUUGCAUGCUUAGUUACCCAAACUAAAGCAUUGGUUUUAUUGCCAUUCACAAAUUAAACUACGAGGUAACUAAAUAAAAUAAAAUGAAAUGAAAGAAAUUACAAUUGAAUGUCUGAAAGCAAAUAAAUGAUGCUAGUUAUUAGCUUCCCAUUUGUUGGUGGUGAGAGUGAUGUAAGCAGAAGCCUUCUUGUCGAUGCCGGGCUCCGCCACCCACCGCCCUCUGUCUUCGUCGCUCGGAUACACUUUGUAAGCCUUCACGUAGUCGUCGCCGCCGUCGCCGCCUCUCGACCUCUUGCUUCUGAACAGACCAAAUAGAGAGAAACCAGAAUGUUUCUUCUGCUGCUUGUUGCCUGCCAUUAUAUGUAUAUAUACUUCUUUUUUUCUCUCUUUGUUGGAGAGAAGAAGAAGAAGAAGAAGAAGAGAGAGAAAGUGUUUGUUGUGUUUGUUGUGUUGUGUUUGAUACUUUGAUGAAUGGUGUGUGGUAUUUAUAGUAGGUUAGUAGGGAAUCUAGACAACUUCACAGCCGCUGAUUUUAU